This 694-nucleotide ribosomal RNA is filed under the name Bacillus subtilis. Its description in RNAcentral is "bacterial SSU rRNA". It matches the Rfam family "Bacterial small subunit ribosomal RNA", at positions 51 to 727 of the family's 1533-position model. Lineage: Bacteria; Bacillati; Bacillota; Bacilli; Caryophanales; Bacillaceae. The record is from RNAcentral.
CUAUAAUGCAGUCGAGCGGACAGAUGGGAGCUUGCUCCCUGAUGUUAGCGGCGGACGGGUGAGUAACACGUGGGUAACCUGCCUGUAAGACUGGGAUAACUCCGGGAAACCGGGGCUAAUACCGGAUGCUUGUUUGAACCGCAUGGUUCAAACAUAAAAGGUGGCUUCGGCUACCACUUACAGAUGGACCCGCGGCGCAUUAGCUAGUUGGUGAGGUAACGGCUCACCAAGGCGACGAUGCGUAGCCGACCUGAGAGGGUGAUCGGCCACACUGGGACUGAGACACGGCCCAGACUCCUACGGGAGGCAGCAGUAGGGAAUCUUCCGCAAUGGACGAAAGUCUGACGGAGCAACGCCGCGUGAGUGAUGAAGGUUUUCGGAUCGUAAAGCUCUGUUGUUAGGGAAGAACAAGUGCCGUUCAAAUAGGGCGGCACCUUGACGGUACCUAACCAGAAAGCCACGGCUAACUACGUGCCAGCAGCCGCGGUAAUACGUAGGUGGCAAGCGUUGUCCGGAAUUAUUGGGCGUAAAGGGCUCGCAGGCGGUUUCUUAAGUCUGAUGUGAAAGCCCCCGGCUCAACCGGGGAGGGUCAUUGGAAACUGGGGAACUUGAGUGCAGAAGAGGAGAGUGGAAUUCCACGUGUAGCGGUGAAAUGCGUAGAGAUGUGGAGGAACACCAGUGGCGAAGGCGACUC